RNAcentral lists this ribosomal RNA (207 nucleotides) under Atropus atropos (cleftbelly trevally). Its description in RNAcentral is "partial 16S ribosomal RNA". Lineage: Eukaryota; Metazoa; Chordata; Actinopteri; Carangiformes; Carangidae. The record is from RNAcentral.
UGCCUAUUAGCUAGCCCCCUCAACUAAACUUAACAAGUAACCAUAAAUAACCCCAAAAGCACUAAACUUACCUAAACAAAACAUUUUUCCUCCCUAGUAUGGGCGACAGAAAAGGACCUUCGGGCGCAAUAGAACAAGUACCGCAAGGGAAAGCUGAAAGAGAAAUGAAAUAAACCAGUAAAGCUAAGAAAAGCAGAGAUUUUCCCU